This is a non-coding RNA of Schizosaccharomyces pombe (fission yeast), 697 nucleotides long. NCBI's taxonomy places the organism in Eukaryota, Fungi, Ascomycota, Schizosaccharomycetes, Schizosaccharomycetales, Schizosaccharomycetaceae. The record is from the annotation of a GenBank genome assembly.
CCUACUUUUUCAGUAGAACUACCGCCUUCCUGCUUCUUGAUUUCUGGCUCUUUCUUCUCAGACUUAAUUUCAUCCUUCGUUUCAUUCUCUUCGGAAUGUAUUUCCUUGUCUUCUUCUUUAUUAUCAUGUUGGAGGAUUGUCUUUUUGGAAUUCUCCAGAUGUUCAGCAAGACGCUGACGUGUGCGCCUAGCAACAGAAGUGGUAGUGGCAGAUGUCGAAGAUUCAGGUUCCCCCUCAGAUGUCUCUGAUUUCUGCGCAGUGGGGCGUGAAGGAGUCGCAUAAGUUGAAGGAGUGGAGGAUGCCUCUAACAAGGCGUUAAUAAACGGGGUCAUGCUGUAGUCUUUGGCAAGAGCCAAGGCAUCUGCAGGAGGCACCCAUAGUCCAGCAACACGUUUGUCUUCAAUUGGGUUUAAAUUAUCACGAAUCCAUCUCAUUUCCAAGUCUUCUUCUUCUUGGGUAGCCUUAGGGAAAGCUGAACGAAACCUAAUCGGGUUUAGAUUUUUAGAAAAAGAUAUGAAAAAACGCUUACAUUGACGUAGCACUAAUGCUUGAAUCCUUUGCCAUCCUCAUAAGAAAGUGAGGUCUAUAUUUAUAUACAUCAUUAGUAUUUUUCCAAAAACAACACUGCAAAAAAAAGAUAAUUACACUUUAGAUUCCGGAUUUGUACACUUGAGACGAACAAAAGUAGCUGGUCCAU